This 693-nucleotide ribosomal RNA is filed under the name Mycena maculata. RNAcentral's name for it is "eukaryotic LSU rRNA". The stretch from base 281 to 434 matches the Rfam family "5.8S ribosomal RNA". The record is from RNAcentral. Lineage: Eukaryota; Fungi; Basidiomycota; Agaricomycetes; Agaricales; Mycenaceae.
GCGGGCCUUUUACUANGCAUGUGCUCGAUUCCAUCUAUUUAUNUUCUCUUGUGCACCUUUUGUAGUCUUUUGAAUGAGCCAACCUUCGCUGAAAAUGCGGUUUGGGGGAUUGAGCGUAACAGCACUUCCCCUGCGGUUCACUUCGCAGCAAUGCGGUUUUGGGGGUCUGAGCCUUUAUCGGCACUACCCCUGCUUCAAGGACUAUGUUUUCAUACACCCUAUAAAAGUUAUUAGAAUGYCUUUUAACGAUUGUGCCUAGUCGCAGUCAUUAAACCUAUACAACUUUCAGCAACGGAUCUCUUGGCUCUCCCAUCGAUGAAGAACGCAGCGAAAUGCGAUAAGUAAUGUGAAUUGCAGAAUUCAGUGAAUCAUCGAAUCUUUGAACGCACCUUGCGCCCUUUGGUAUUCCGAAGGGCAUGCCUGUUUGAGUGUCAUUGAAUUAUCAACCGUGCUUGCUUUUACUAGCUCGCUCGGCUUGGAUGUGAGGGCUGCUGGCUUCCUUCAGUGGAUGGUCUGCUCCCUUUAAAUGCAUUAGUGGGAUCUCUUGUGGACCGUCACUUGGUGUGAUAAUUAUCUAUGCCAGUUGACUUUGAAGCAAACUUAUGGGAACCUGCUUAUAACCGUCCUUUGGGACAACUUUUAACAUUUUGACCUCAAAUCAGGUAGGACUACCCGCUGAACUUAAGCAUAUCA